Dreissena polymorpha is the source of this 732-nucleotide long non-coding RNA. RefSeq lists it as uncharacterized. The record is from RefSeq and is a predicted model, not a curated record. The transcript has 2 exons. NCBI's taxonomy places the organism in Eukaryota, Metazoa, Mollusca, Bivalvia, Myida, Dreissenidae.
UUGCAUUCACUGCAAUUAAGAAAACCAUCUCAUACCAUGAUAUCUUAUAUCAGUCUUAAUUCAUUAUUAUAAAAUUGAUAUGGUUUUUUUAUGUUAAGAAACCAACAUACAUACACACGUCGACCCAAUUCCUAACGUCACUAAAAAAAAUAUGUUCAAUUGUUUACAUUUGUGAAGUGCGUGGAAUAAUUCCAUCUGCGUAAAUGGGCAAUAAAUUAGUUCCAAAGAGUUGCAUUAAAACUCGCAAGUUUUUGCACGAUUUAUCGUACAUUUAAAAGUCAUAGUUCUUAAUUUAAUGCAUGCGAUCUUAAAUAUCCAAUCAAAUAUACGUUGAAUGCGUUUGUUCGGUUUUAUCUAUUUUAUAGACAAAAUGGAGGGCUGAGCCUUUCGCAGAGUUGUAUGUGAGAGCAAGGAACGACAACUCUGCGUGGAGAUUGCCCGGCAGCCAGUAGCCGAUUUGUGAAAAACUGUAGUGUGCCCCCUUUAUCUUUUAAAUGAAACCAGUCUGUAUAAAAACAAUACUCGUGAAAACAGCGCUAGGUUACAUACAACUAUAAAAAUAAAUAUUCGGAACCGAAAUUUCCAGGGGUGGAUCCGUACCCGCGAAUCUGAGGUAGGAUCCGAUAUCAUCGGAUAUUUCGGGUACCCGUUGCAGCCCUAUUCACAACACAUUUAAUCUUUCAAAUGUACAGUUUAUCCUUGUUAACGUACCUUUUUAGAAGUUAAAAGAAA